This 119-nucleotide non-coding RNA is filed under the name Sebaldella termitidis. RNAcentral describes it as "FMN sequence". It matches the Rfam family "FMN riboswitch aptamer (RFN element)". From Rfam's summary of the family: The RFN element is a highly conserved domain that is found frequently in the 5'-untranslated regions of prokaryotic mRNAs that encode for flavin mononucleotide (FMN) biosynthesis and transport proteins. This element is a metabolite-dependent riboswitch that directly binds FMN in the absence of proteins. RNAcentral also lists the same sequence under 1 other name. Lineage: Bacteria; Fusobacteriati; Fusobacteriota; Fusobacteriia; Fusobacteriales; Leptotrichiaceae. The record is from RNAcentral.
AAUAAACUUCAGGGCAGGGUUAAAUUCCCGACCGGUGGUAAAGUCCACGAGCUUAUAUUUAAGCAUGAACUGGUGUAAUUCCAGUACCGACAGUAAAGUCUGGAUGAAAGAAGUAAGUA